GGUAAGCAAACUUUUACCAAAGAAAUAAACAUACAUUUUUAAUUAAGAAUGCAAUAAUUAAACACAAGCAAAUCCUAAACAUACAUAAUUAAUUCUAGACUUGACCAUUCGAAUAUGAGUAUUGAAGUCAGACUAUGGCAUGUUUUGCACUCAUAAUGGUGGAACAACUUACCCACCCUAAGUUACCACACAAGGCUAGUUCAUCUACCACUUAUAGUCAAAGAAUCAAACCAUAGACUAAGACCUUCUACUACUCCUUACCACAUAACCCUUUUUCUACUUGAGAUGGAAUGCUUAUUAAAGUGUUGAGAUAACUUCCGAGACCGAGUCACCAUAAAAU
Molecule: long non-coding RNA, 340 nt
Filed under: Vigna radiata
Lineage: Eukaryota; Viridiplantae; Streptophyta; Magnoliopsida; Fabales; Fabaceae
Description: long non-coding RNA (VRAD_LNC015739)
Source: RNAcentral